This 240-nucleotide unclassified non-coding RNA is filed under the name Ophiosphaerella sp. Its description in RNAcentral is "partial internal transcribed spacer region". The stretch from base 1 to 46 matches the Rfam family "Eukaryotic small subunit ribosomal RNA", at positions 1786 to 1831 of the family's 1831-position model. The record is from RNAcentral. Lineage: Eukaryota; Fungi; Ascomycota; Dothideomycetes; Pleosporales; Phaeosphaeriaceae.
AAGUCGUAACAAGGUUUCCGUAGGUGAACCUGCGGAAGGAUCAUUACAUGAUAGUACAGGCCCGAAGCUGUAGCAAUACACGCCCAAAGGCUCAUGUCUAUUACCCUUGUUUAUCGAGCACCUAUGUUUCCUUGGUGGGCUUGCCCGCCAAUAGGACACCCCAUUAACCCAUUUUAUUUUGAAUUAGCGUCUGAAUAAAUUGAAUAAUUACAACUUUCAACAACGGAUCUCUUGGUUCUG